AUAUCACGCAGAAUAUCAUUUUCCUUUGGGGU
Molecule: non-coding RNA, 32 nt
Filed under: Mus musculus (house mouse)
Lineage: Eukaryota; Metazoa; Chordata; Mammalia; Rodentia; Muridae
Source: RNAcentral